This 501-nucleotide ribosomal RNA is filed under the name uncultured bacterium. Its description in RNAcentral is "partial 16S ribosomal RNA". It matches the Rfam family "Bacterial small subunit ribosomal RNA", at positions 30 to 523 of the family's 1533-position model. The record is from RNAcentral.
AUUGAACGCUGGCGGCAGGCUUAACACAUGCAAGUCGAGCGGGGGAAGGUAGCUUGCUACCGGACCUAGCGGCGGACGGGCGAGUAAUGCUUAGGAAUCUGCCUAUUAGUGGGGGACAACAUCUCGAAAGGGAUGCUAAUACCGCAUACGUCCUACGGGAGCAAGCAGGGGAUCUUCGGACCUUGCGCUACUAGAUGAGCCUAAGUGCGAUUAGCUAGUUGGGGGUGUAAAGGCCUACCAAGGCGACGAUCUGUAGCGGGUCUGAGAGGAUGAUCCGCCACACUGGGACUGAGACACGGCCCAGACUCCUACGGGAGGCAGCAGUGGGGAAUAUUGGACAAUGGGGGGAACCCUGAUCCAGCCAUGCCGCGUGUGUGAAGAAGGCCUUAUGGUUGUAAAGCACUUUAAGCGAGGAGGAGGCUACUCUAGUUAAUACCUAGGGAUAGUGGACGUUACUCGCAGAAUAAGCACCGGCUAACUCUGUGCCAGCCGCCGCCGUAA